Molecule: ribosomal RNA, 716 nt
Filed under: Odorrana fengkaiensis
Lineage: Eukaryota; Metazoa; Chordata; Amphibia; Anura; Ranidae
Description: partial 12S ribosomal RNA
Rfam family: Bacterial small subunit ribosomal RNA
Source: RNAcentral
CCUUCCCUAGGCCAAGGAGCCGGUAUCAGACACAACUACAGUCCACAACACCUAGUCUCACCACACCCCCAAGGGUACUCAGCAGUGAUAAAUAUUGAGCAUAAGCGAUAGCUUGACUCAGUCAGAGAAAAGAGAGCCGGCCAACCCGGUGCCAGCCGCCGCGGCUACCCCGUGGGCUCGAGUUGAUGAUCAUCGGCGUUAAGCGUGAUUAAAGUUCAUCUAGAUUAGGGCCAAACUAAUACUUAGUAGUAAAAAGCUUGUUAUUAAGAAGAACAUAAACGAAAGUUGCCCUAACUCACAUACUUGAAUACACGACAGUUGGAAAACAAACUGGGAUUAGAUACCCCACUAUGCCCAACCGUAAACAAUUAACCUACAUCUAUAAGCGCCUGGGAACUACGAGCUAUGCUUAAAACCCAAAGGAUUUGACGGUGUCCCACCCAACUAGAGGAGCCUGUUCUAUAAUCGAUGAUCCCCGAUAUACCUAACCACCCCUAGCUCAUCCGUCUGUAUACCUCCGUCGAAAGCCUACCAUGUGAACGUUUACAGUAGGCCCAAGGACCCACAUUAGCGCGUCAACACGUCAGGUCAAGGUGCAACUUAAGGAGUGGGAAGUAAUUGGCUACAAUUUCUAAUCUAGAACAAACGAAAGACAGUGUGAAAUCACAGUCACGAAGGCGGAUUUAGCAGUAAAAAGAAAAUAGAGAGUUCUUUUU